UCUGCCUGCCUGGCCGUGAAUAGGCUGCUGAGCUGCCCGCUAGGUAUCCUUACAGACCUCAGACCUUGCCGUAUUGCUCGAAAUUAAACCAAGUAUUGCUAGUCAAUUCAGACGGGUCGCAAUUACUAUGGACUCGCGGAAGACCAAAGCUUUUCUGCUCGAAUCAAGGUCUUACCGAAGGCGAUGAAAAAUCUCCAGCGGACCCAAGUGAAGGCGAGCAGACGAAGUGGCGGGCAGGAGUGGUGGGUCAGUGGCUUCUUACCUUGACCUCCGUGAACACAGUGGAGAGCCUGUGAGCUGCAAACACCACAACUUCACGGCGCCUUUGUCCCCCCUCGCCUGGCUGGUUGUCUUGCAUCUCUCCGACACUCCAAUUCGUGACUCAGCCUCCACUCGUCCGUGAAUCCCCGAUGCACCCUCACCACCACUACCUUUAUCAUCACCGCCCCUUCAAUAGAUUGGCUUCUGAGGGCAGCUCCAUUGUCCCUAACCCCUCUCUGUCCGGAUUACGUUGCGUCUAUUUUUGUUUGUAAUGAUUUAUUUCUAUGUGUUUGUUCUGUCAUUGUCUUCCUUCA
Molecule: long non-coding RNA, 575 nt
Organism: Scylla paramamosain (green mud crab)
Lineage: Eukaryota; Metazoa; Arthropoda; Malacostraca; Decapoda; Portunidae
Exons: 2
Source: RefSeq, a predicted model, not a curated record